UGCGUAGGUGGUUUUGUAAGCGUGGGGUGAAAGGCAAUAGCUUAACUAUUGUAAGCCCUGCGAACUGUGAGACUUGAGUGCAGGAGAGGAAAGCGGAAUUCCUAGUGUAGCGGUGAAAUGCGUAGAUAUUAGGAGGAACACCAGUGGCGAAGGCGGCUUUCUGGACUGUAACUGACACUGAGGCACGAAAGCGUGGGGAGCAAACA
This 206-nucleotide ribosomal RNA is filed under the name uncultured Bacillota bacterium. RNAcentral describes it as "uncultured Firmicutes bacterium partial 16S ribosomal RNA". It matches the Rfam family "Bacterial small subunit ribosomal RNA", at positions 568 to 774 of the family's 1533-position model. The record is from RNAcentral. Lineage: Bacteria; Bacillati; Bacillota.